RNAcentral lists this ribosomal RNA (468 nucleotides) under uncultured bacterium. RNAcentral's name for it is "partial 16S ribosomal RNA". It matches the Rfam family "Bacterial small subunit ribosomal RNA", at positions 28 to 507 of the family's 1533-position model. The record is from RNAcentral.
GACGAACGCUGGCGGCGUGCUUAACACAUGCAAGUCGAACGGAAAGGCCCUGCUUUUGUGGGGUGCUCGAGUGGCGAACGGGUGAGUAACACGUGAGUAACCUGUCCUUGACUUUGGGAUAACUUCAGGAAACUGGGGCUAAUACCGGAUAGGAGCUCCUGCUGCAUGGUGGGGGAUGGAAAGUUUCGGCGGUUGGGGCUGGACUCGCGGCUUAUCAGCUUGUUGGUGGGGUAGUGGCUUACCAAGGCUUUGACGGGUAGCCGGCCUGGGAGGGUGACCGGCCACAUUGGGACUGAGAUACGGCCCAGACUCCUACGGGAGGCAGCAGUGGGGAAUAUUGCACAAUGGGCGGAAGCCUGAUGCAGCAACGCCGCGUGCGGGAUGACGGCCUUCGGGUUGUAAACCGCUUUCGCCUGUGACGAAGCGUGAGUGACGGUAAUGGGUAAAGAAGCACCGGCUAACUACGUG